CUGGGAGCAGUGGGCGGGGCCUAGAUUCCGAGGCCCAGGAGGCAGGGAUGGUGCCUCGGCGAGCCUGCGAGUCUGAGCCCUGGGGGUUGUCCCGUCCUACUCUCCGUUCAGUCAGCCGUUAUAUCCUUUCCGUAACCUCCUCCAGCAGGGUUUUAGGACACAGAGAGAAGAUGGCCAUCCAUAAAUGAGAAACAGGUCCUCAACAUUUUGCAGCCUCCUGAGUUGCUCUGUCACACUUGUACAAAUGAUGAAAACGACUCUCUGCUGCAUUUGAAAAAUGAGCUGCCAGUGGAGG
This 295-nucleotide long non-coding RNA is filed under the name Capra hircus (goat). RNAcentral's name for it is "lncRNA (ENSCHIG00000007234.1)". Lineage: Eukaryota; Metazoa; Chordata; Mammalia; Artiodactyla; Bovidae. The record is from RNAcentral.